RNAcentral lists this ribosomal RNA (1531 nucleotides) under Staphylococcus aureus M0075. RNAcentral describes it as "partial 16S ribosomal RNA". It matches the Rfam family "Bacterial small subunit ribosomal RNA". Lineage: Bacteria; Bacillati; Bacillota; Bacilli; Caryophanales; Staphylococcaceae. RNAcentral also lists the same sequence under 12 other names. The record is from RNAcentral.
UCCUGGCUCAGGAUGAACGCUGGCGGCGUGCCUAAUACAUGCAAGUCGAGCGAACGGACGAGAAGCUUGCUUCUCUGAUGUUAGCGGCGGACGGGUGAGUAACACGUGGAUAACCUACCUAUAAGACUGGGAUAACUUCGGGAAACCGGAGCUAAUACCGGAUAAUAUUUUGAACCGCAUGGUUCAAAAGUGAAAGACGGUCUUGCUGUCACUUAUAGAUGGAUCCGCGCUGCAUUAGCUAGUUGGUAAGGUAACGGCUUACCAAGGCAACGAUGCAUAGCCGACCUGAGAGGGUGAUCGGCCACACUGGAACUGAGACACGGUCCAGACUCCUACGGGAGGCAGCAGUAGGGAAUCUUCCGCAAUGGGCGAAAGCCUGACGGAGCAACGCCGCGUGAGUGAUGAAGGUCUUCGGAUCGUAAAACUCUGUUAUUAGGGAAGAACAUAUGUGUAAGUAACUGUGCACAUCUUGACGGUACCUAAUCAGAAAGCCACGGCUAACUACGUGCCAGCAGCCGCGGUAAUACGUAGGUGGCAAGCGUUAUCCGGAAUUAUUGGGCGUAAAGCGCGCGUAGGCGGUUUUUUAAGUCUGAUGUGAAAGCCCACGGCUCAACCGUGGAGGGUCAUUGGAAACUGGAAAACUUGAGUGCAGAAGAGGAAAGUGGAAUUCCAUGUGUAGCGGUGAAAUGCGCAGAGAUAUGGAGGAACACCAGUGGCGAAGGCGACUUUCUGGUCUGUAACUGACGCUGAUGUGCGAAAGCGUGGGGAUCAAACAGGAUUAGAUACCCUGGUAGUCCACGCCGUAAACGAUGAGUGCUAAGUGUUAGGGGGUUUCCGCCCCUUAGUGCUGCAGCUAACGCAUUAAGCACUCCGCCUGGGGAGUACGACCGCAAGGUUGAAACUCAAAGGAAUUGACGGGGACCCGCACAAGCGGUGGAGCAUGUGGUUUAAUUCGAAGCAACGCGAAGAACCUUACCAAAUCUUGACAUCCUUUGACAACUCUAGAGAUAGAGCCUUCCCCUUCGGGGGACAAAGUGACAGGUGGUGCAUGGUUGUCGUCAGCUCGUGUCGUGAGAUGUUGGGUUAAGUCCCGCAACGAGCGCAACCCUUAAGCUUAGUUGCCAUCAUUAAGUUGGGCACUCUAAGUUGACUGCCGGUGACAAACCGGAGGAAGGUGGGGAUGACGUCAAAUCAUCAUGCCCCUUAUGAUUUGGGCUACACACGUGCUACAAUGGACAAUACAAAGGGCAGCGAAACCGCGAGGUCAAGCAAAUCCCAUAAAGUUGUUCUCAGUUCGGAUUGUAGUCUGCAACUCGACUACAUGAAGCUGGAAUCGCUAGUAAUCGUAGAUCAGCAUGCUACGGUGAAUACGUUCCCGGGUCUUGUACACACCGCCCGUCACACCACGAGAGUUUGUAACACCCGAAGCCGGUGGAGUAACCUUUUAGGAGCUAGCCGUCGAAGGUGGGACAAAUGAUUGGGGUGAAGUCGUAACAAGGUAGCCGUAUCGGAAGGUGCGGCUGGAUCACCU